ACGUAGGAGACGAACGUUAUCCGGAGUUACUGGGCGUAAAGGGCGUGUAGGCGGUUUGUUAAGUCUGGCGUGAAAGCUCUCGGCUAAACCGGGAGAGGUCGUUGGAUACUGGCAAACUUGAGGAUGGUAGAGGCGUGUGGAAUUCCGGGUGUAGUGGUGAAAUGCGUAGAGAUCGGAAGGAACGUCAAUGGCGAAGGCAGCCACCUGGCAUAAUACUGACGCUGAGGCGCGAAAGCGUGGGGAGCAAACAGG
This 252-nucleotide ribosomal RNA is filed under the name uncultured bacterium. Its description in RNAcentral is "partial 16S ribosomal RNA". It matches the Rfam family "Bacterial small subunit ribosomal RNA", at positions 525 to 776 of the family's 1533-position model. The record is from RNAcentral.